RNAcentral lists this ribosomal RNA (497 nucleotides) under uncultured bacterium. RNAcentral describes it as "partial 16S ribosomal RNA". It matches the Rfam family "Bacterial small subunit ribosomal RNA", at positions 28 to 507 of the family's 1533-position model. The record is from RNAcentral.
GAUGAACGCUGGCGGCGUGCCUAAUACAUGCAAGUCGAGCGAACGGACGAGAAGCUUGCUUCUCUGAUGUUAGCGGCGGACGGGUGAGUAACACGUGGAUAACCUACCUAUAAGACUGGGAUAACUUCGGGAAACCGGAGCUAAUACCGGAUAAUAUUUUGAACCGCAUGGUUCAAUAGUGAAAGACGGUCUUGCUGUCACUUAUAGAUGGAUCCGCGCUGCAUUAGCUAGUUGGUAAGGUAACGGCUUACCAAGGCAACGAUGCAUAGCCGACCUGAGAGGGUGAUCGGCCACACGGGAACGGAGACACGGUCCAGACUCCUACGGGAGGCAGCAGUAGGGAAUCUGCCGCAAUGGGCGAAAGCCUGACGGAGCAACGCCGCGUGAGUGAUGAAGGUCUUCGGAGCGUAAAACUCUGUUAUGAGGGAAGAACAUAUGUGUAAGUAACUGUGCACAUCUUGACGGUACCUAAUCAGAAAGCCACGGCUAACUACGUG